UACGGAGGGGGCUAGCGUUGUUCGGAAUUACUGGGCGUAAAGCGCACGUAGGCGGACAGUUAAGUCGGGGGUGAAAUCCCGGGGCUCAACCCCGGAACUGCCUUCGAUACUGGCUGUCUGGAGGUCGAGAGAGGUGAGUGGAAUUCCGAGUGUAGAGGUGAAAUUCGUAGAUAUUCGGAGGAACACCAGUGGCGAAGGCGGCUCACUGACUCGAUACUGACGCUGAGGUGCGAAAGCGUGGGGAGCAAACAGG
This 253-nucleotide ribosomal RNA is filed under the name uncultured bacterium. Its description in RNAcentral is "partial 16S ribosomal RNA". It matches the Rfam family "Bacterial small subunit ribosomal RNA", at positions 524 to 776 of the family's 1533-position model. The record is from RNAcentral.